CAGCCUCCUGCAAAGCUGGAACUACAGAGGCAGCACUCAAGCUCUGAUUCUCACUGUUGCCCAGCGUCAGUUGUUUAGCAGACAUGAUUUAGAUUGCUACAACCCGUUUAUACGUGAUCAUUUAACACACGGGUGUUAAGUUCAUUCUUGCUGCAAAAGAAGGCCAUUGUACCUCCUGACCCUGAAAGCAAGAACUGUGUCUCUUUAAAUCUACUGAGGAAGAUAUUCCUUCUGGCCCACAGGAUGCCAAAAUGACUUGAUGAUUUAUUUAUGCAGCACUUGGCAGCCUAUAGUCCAGAUUGUGGCUGAAGCUGAAUUUUAUGAGCCUUCCCCUAGGACACUGGAUUUUGUGGAUGCUCCUUGGACACACUGGAAUGCACCUUGGGCAGCCCGUGGAUCAUUUUCCCCAGUAUGAAGCAUGGGAGGAGCUGGAAAAUGAACUCAUGAGCCAGUUGAGCCAGCACAACAAGCUGGAGCCAGGAUAUGCAGCUGGGAGCGAGUGUCCAGCCAACAGCCCGUGUCUCAGGCCCUGCCAGGGGAUGAAUCAAUUAGCAAGAGAAGCAAUGAUGCAAAUGCUCCGGGGUCACUUGGGAUGCUGUUUGCCUUUUUGAUAGAGAAAGCACACCAUAAAUAACAUCACACCUCAGGAAAUCAUUCCAGGAGGCCCCGAUGCUGGCAGGGCUGCUGCCAGGGACGGAAGGAAUCGUUUGCUCAUUGUGUGUAUUUCCCCCAGCUCAGUCAAUGGGAGAUUUGUAGUAAAAUCAAAGUAUUUAAAAGGAGGACAGUAUGUGGUAACAGAGGCAUGUUUAGCAAUUUUUUUAGUACCAGAACCUGUGAUUUAUGACCCAGAGUUACAGCCAACUUUAUUACAAAAAUGACUUCACCCAUAAUAACCUUAUUCAGGGCCCUCUGAUGAAUGAUGUAGUAUCCAACAGCAUUAUAAUCUAGUAAAUAUUCAAACACAAUUCCCGCCUCCGCCUCAUUUCCAACCAACCCCUCAGAAGCAGGCUUCCCCCUUUACCUGCUGGGAGAAGUGGGGUCCUGGGUAAGGCUUUGUGCUCUGUCUGUGGGAGUUUGCCUGGAUCAGGCAUUUAUACUAAGCCAGGACAGAAAGUGACCUCCUGGGGUCUCAGUCAUAUCUUGUCCAACCUUGUCCCCUGAGGAGUAAUGAGCAGAAGACACCCACUCACCCUUCAUUUCCUCUCUGUGCUGAAACUUAUUUCCUCCCUGCAUUCCCCCACUCCUCCAGAGCUCAGAUCCCCACCACCUGAAAGGAGCUCCAGUAAGCUCCCUGACAUUUUUAAUUGCCAUGGUAACUGAGGGCUGCACUAAAACCGCCAGGGCUGGGUGUCCAAGCAGGGUCCCCUGGGCGUACCGGGAUCUAGAAACUAGCCCUCCAUCUUAUUAAACUCCGGUGUCAGUUCCUAGCAAUUGUUUUAAAUUUACACCCUCAGAGUGGCUUAGUGGGAUUACAUGUCCAUUUGCAUUAAAACAGUUUUCUGUCAUUAAACUGCCAUACAAUAAGCUUCCUUGGGACAAAUUAAUGAGCUCUAAAUAUCAUCAAGUAGAAGUUCACUUCAAGACAGGCAACAAGGAGGGGGGUCGGAAGGAAGUGGCUGCUCAGAAUCUCAUGGCCCAGGAGAACGAUAAGUGCCAACUAAAGAAGGGUCUUGUCCUGUUUCUUCACUGCACGAUAAGUGGUCCUGAUUUAGAGCUGAAUGGGGAGAUUUGGCAAUAUUCUCCCUGUUCGCCAAAAUCCUAUAGCUCAUCUUCUAUUCCUUCUUCCAAAUAUGACUUUACCCUUGACUUUGCUGAAAUUUGCUGAUGAAACACUGACCUCUUGUCUCAGUGACAAUGUCUCAGCCUCAUUUUCUUUGUCCUGUAGUUUCUCUGUCCUUGAGGAACUUGCGUGCAUCCACGUGGCCUGGGAACAACACGCACACAACGCAGCACUAUGUGUAGCUUGAACAAGUGCUCCCUAACUUUGUUAGUUCCCACACACUUUGCUAAAAUGCAUGUAUGAUUGCUACUGAACUGUCUGGGUCCUCAGACCUUAUCGGGACCCUGGAACACGAGUCCUGAUCAGGAGCACCUUUCAUGGUCAUCAGGAGCAGAAUAGGAACAGGGAACAGUUUAGCUUCUAAGACUGAAUUUGUCCUGCUCACAAGAAUCACCAGAGCUUGUCCUCACAAAUACAUAUGUGUGUCUAAGUAGAAAUUUUUCAUUAACACCAAAUAAACCCCCAAACCUUCCCUUAUGUAAAGGAAAUAAGACUGGCUGCUAGACAGACUUCUUGAUCCACAGAGGCUGUGAUCUCAUUUCUGUGUAGCCUUAACAGGGGACAGUAAUGUAUGAUUGAGACACUGCUAUAUUUAGGAAUGACAAGAUGAACAUUAUUAAUAGCUUAAUUGACAUUAAGGCAAUUACCCCUACCCUUAUUACAGUUUGUAGAAUUACACAGAAAAUAUUGGCUGGGGCCUUUUUUUCCCUAGAGCUACCCAAGGAUACAGCAUUUUAUUUCAUGCCAGAUCCCAGCUUUGACAUUAGAUACUUAGCCAUAGAAUGAUUCCAGUAAAUCAUUAUAAAUGCAUUAUAAUAAAGAUGUUAUGAGCUAUCAGAUAUUAACCCCCAACCCCUAAAGAGAGAUAAAUAGUCCAGUUGCAUGAUUCCCACUUUUGUUUCAUAAGAAAUAAGCUUUUGCAAAGAGCAACUGACUAAUGAAUUAUAAAAUGGUGUGUUGAGCUCAGAUAAUUAAACAAUGCAUUUUAGUGUCUAGUGCAGGAUGAACACUAAAUCAUACACAAAUAAAAAAGGUAAAAAUCUGAGCCCCAUGCCUAACUCCUAUUUUUGAAUAACAUUAAUGUUGGUCUACAGUCCAAAAAUGCUUCAACUAUUUUCUUAUCUGAUUAGAGAGGCAUAUCAAGUAUAAGAUCAAGGCACAGUAGGCAAACUAAACCAACAGUCAGAACAAAAACUGUGAAGGUGCUAAUUUCAGAUAAGCCCACAAGGUUAUUUUAAUGGAGAUUUUACAUGGAGAUUGCUUUUUCCCCCAAAGUGUUAAUGGGACAAAAGUCUAGAAGGACCUGGAAGUUUUCAGGUUUCCUUAUACUUUAUAUUUUCUCUGAACUCAUAAUAAAGCAUAUUAGUGGGAAUGGGAUCUAUGCUAUUGGUGGUGGUCUUAGCCUUAUAGUGUUGGAAAGAUGAAUACACAUCCUAAAAUCUUCUCUAGGUUGUGGAGGUGCAGGGAUGAGGAGGGGUUGGUUUGGGUUUCAACCAUUAUCCUCCCCAGGUGGUGGUAUCCUGCCCAGCAGGGCUUCAUCUAGUGGUCAACCAUGGAACACCAUGACAUUUUCACCAGUGGCCCUCAGACAGGGCUGGUUUGCCAUUGGCUGCCAUUUCCUGGCAUGUCGUAGAUUUGCUGCGUGAUUUGAAGCUGUGCUUCAGCACAUCCUGAAUGUGUUUUUUAGUCUUUCAGUAUCUCAAAGACAUGGUGUCCGCCUCAAGGUAGUCUCCUAUUUCUUCGUCAAAUAGCACAUCAUUAAGGACUGUGUGGCCAAAAUUACAGAUGGUCUUGGACUCUGUAUGGGCAAUGACCACCUGUGCUGGUAAUCGAGGCUUCCCUGGAACACCUGGGAACAUACCACACAGCCAGUCCUCUCCUGUGCUCCAGUCAAGCUUAACCUCACAGCCCGAUACUCCCUCCACUUCCCUAGCUCCAUGUGUUAGCCACUGCAGGUUAAUUGAUCUAAGGCUUAUUUUCUUCAAAUAUAAAAUGAAGAUAAUAAUGCCUACCCAGAGGGUCAUGUGAACAUUAAAUGAGAUCAAUUAUGUAAAGAUCUAUCUAUGCAGUGCCUUUCACAGAGUAUGCCCACAAAUAAAUGUUACCUGUUUCAUUUUAGUUAUCUAUGUUUAGCUAUCUUUGUGUUUUUUCUAUCCUGCUUCUUCUCGCUCCACUAUACUCUUACAUCCUAAUUCUCUCUCUCUCUCAUACACACAUACUUUGCUGUGUCUAGCACAGUGCUUUGCUUGUGGCUCACACUCUACAUGCUUGUUACCCUGAACUAUUAACAAAAGCAGCUGCUAGUAACAGUUAAUGUUUUCUGACCACCUACAUGAGCCAGGCACUAUGCUAAGUAUCAUCACUUCCUUUAAUUCUCACAAGCUUAUGAGACAAAUACUAUUUUAAUUCUCAUCUAUCGGAAAUUAAAGAUUAAAGAUGUUCUAUAACUUGCCCAAGGUCACACAAGCUCUUAAGUGGAUAGUCAAGAUCCAAACUCAGAACCGGCCUGGAUUUGAAAUCUCAGUUCUUAACUAUCACUGUGUCAGACUGAUUUUGUUAGCUUUUUCCUCCUUUAGACUGGGCCCUAUCAAGGGAUCAGAGAUAAGCAUGUACCCACUCUCAGAUGAGUGAUCCCACGACCUCAAGUUUUGAAGUUCCAGGAAGUCCAGAAGUGUAUGCUAACUCUAGUUUAUAGCUGUUCAAAAGUCACUUGUCUAAAAACUUCAGGGACAUUAUGUAAAACCAUCCAAAAAACAUUAUUGCACACCCCAUAAAGUUAAUUUCACUUUGCAAGAAUGUGUUUGAGGGAGGUGAUGCACUUGGCUAUGUAUUCAGGUUGGUGGCCACAAUAUAUGGAGCUGUGCUGUCAUCCUUGACACUCUGGCUUACUGGCAGCCUCGCUCCAACACACUGUCACAGGCGAGGGAUGGCCUCCCAGUCUUGACUCAGAACACUUAAGCUUCCUAAUGGUCCAAGUCUCACAAACCACACACCUCCCUUAAUUAAAAAAGUAAAUUAAAAGGAGUAUUUCAACUUAGGGAUGAAUUAUCUUAGUAAUUUAAGAUUGACAUUUUAUUGGAUAAAAGGACAUGUAUGAGUUUAUUUUAAAAUACUGCCUUCAUGAACAAGAGACCACAGAAAAGAUUAUCCUGAGGUUGCAAGGCGUUUGUAGAGCCAGAGGACACCCUUGCAAAACAGCCACUGUGAGAGGCCAGUUGCUGCAAAUCACAGGUCAGCCACUUCUACACUUGUCCUUCAAGCACAUCAGCCGGACAUUUGGAGUUUUCUAUAGUCUUCAUUUCAAACUCGAUCAUCCUGAGUGUUGUGGUGGACACUACUAGUGUCACAAAGAGUCCAGCACCCUCUCCUUCCAGGUAUAUAAACGGUGCAUUGCUGGGCUCCUUUGCAGUUGGAUAGGUCAGGUAAUUUGUCUGUUGUGAAGAGUUACUAUGUUUCACUUCUAAGCCGAAGCAUUUGAUUGUCAAUGGAAUACCCUCCAGCUCUCUCCUUCCCUGCAGAAGUAAUCUUGGAAGCAUGUGUUGAGAUGACAGAGUUCCCAAUAGCCUAGAUUCCUGAAUGACUUAGUGGAGCUGAGUCCUCCACAGGUCCAUGUUGGACAUGCACAAUCAGUGAGAAUAAACUUUUGUUGGAUUAAGUCACCGAUGUUUGGAGACUGUUCAUUACCACAACAAAAUGUAGCCAAAUCCCGACUAAUCCAGGAAUUAACCUUUUGUUCAGAAAAUACAGCCCUUCUAAGUCAUAAACCCAUAUUCUCUUUCCAAUAGCUUAUUAAAUGGUUUAUGUAUUUUCCAUCUUUUUGAUAUACUCUCAGAUGCCUAAAAUUACCACAGUGACCUUGGAUUGGACAAGGUAGUUGUUUGUCUUUUAGCCAUUAAUAAAUAUUGCUACUGUGGAAUGAGUGAGGGAAACAGAAGAAGACAAGGUUGGCCUUUUGAAAAUAAUAUGGCAUCAUGUAACGAUGAAAAAGAGAAAAAAUACAGAAAAAAGAGAAAACAAGAGAAAAAUGAAAAACAAGUCUAUAAGAGAGAAAAGUAGAGAAAAACAAAACAAUAGAAAUGCUGGGCAAUUUGUUUCAGAUUCACUAUAACCAACUGCUUGUUGUUGGGUUCUGCUCUAGAAGGCAUCUCUCAGGAUGCCUUUGACCCUCAGCACCUUUUUGUGUAUGUGCCUAGCAUACUGAGGUGCUCAAUAAAUGUUGAUUGAAAGGGUAAAUAAAGGAAUAAAUUUCCAUUUUAUAAUCUUGGAAGCAUAUAUUACUUUAAACGGCCUAUGACUAUGAAUGGACAUUCCAUUGCACAUUGAAAGGCAGUACAACAAGUGAGAAGGGAAGUAGAAAUAUAUGAGUUUGAAUAGCUCUUCAUAACCUUUAAACCUGAGUCCUUGCAAAGAGCAACUAUGAGGUCAGAGCAAUAAUUCUUUGUCCUAAAAACAGGACACCACUGAUAACUCAGAGCCGUCUGUUGAAGAAAGUGUUUCAAAUAAACUGGUUAGCAAUGCCCUUGUUUUGUUUGCCUCUGGAUGGGAAGAACUAGGAGUGCAAUCAGCACCGAGGUGUCUAUAGUCUUGAUGUGGUGGGAGAUGAAAGUAGGGGAACUGAAUAAUGUAUUUUUUCAAAACCUUGAAUGGAGCGAGAAAUACUGAUAAAAAGGAAGAGUUGUGAGUCAUUCUUCUGCUGAUGCCAACUGGGAAGCUCCAGUAGUAUAUUCCCCUGGUGAUGAAGUAAUUCACUUUUUCUGAGAUUAACAUUCUGUAGUAAGGCUGUUCCUCAUACAAGGUUGCUCACAGGUAAAGUUAAUAAAAGGCAGAGUCUAAGAAUUCAUAAGGAAGUUUGCCUUUCCAUGGGGAGAAAGCAUGCAAUCAGGGUCUCUAGUCUGUGUGCACACGUGUGUGUGCGCGUGUGUGUGUGCGCGCGCGCACUCAUAUGCACAGCUCAGAUGUCCAGGACUUGAGAUGAGAAUGGAAAGCACCGAAUAAGAAGAAAGCUGCCACACAGUAGGCUGAAGGAGAAUGACUACAACCUUUAGGCUGAAAAAAAAAAAACACUACAUGCUGGCGUGUAUCCUUGUGGAUAUGUGGAAACACAACAAAAAUAUUGGUCCAUCCUGGCUGCAGUUUUAAAGGAAAGGAAGAUCUCCUGGCAUCAACAUCUCUUGGAGAUGAACACACUAUACAUGCAAGUUCAAAUCUAUCAUCUUCCACCAGUCAACCCAAGCUACAUUCCCCUUCCAUUUAUUAUCAAAGGAAUAAGCACUUUUGUUUCCCAGGCUUAACUCCUCAAAAUCAUGAGCUUUUCUUCCCUACCUUUCCCUUCAUUCGAACUCUUUCCUUUCAAAAUGUUUAUAGAAUUCAUUCUUAUCCUCUCCCUGCCUGGGGGGUUUAUCUAGCUAGUCUAAAUUCUAGAUCAUUGCCUUUCUAUAGGAAAUAUAAAACACACAAAUAAUGAAAUACCCAUAAUCCAAGGCAGAAAUCAUGAGUGUUAUAGUAACAAUGGCCUCAAGAGCUAGACUGCCCAGGCAGCUCAUAUU
RNAcentral lists this long non-coding RNA (7326 nucleotides) under Homo sapiens (human). RNAcentral's name for it is "HSALNT0043615". The record is from RNAcentral. Lineage: Eukaryota; Metazoa; Chordata; Mammalia; Primates; Hominidae.